This 248-nucleotide ribosomal RNA is filed under the name uncultured Bacteroides sp. RNAcentral describes it as "partial 16S ribosomal RNA". It matches the Rfam family "Bacterial small subunit ribosomal RNA", at positions 524 to 771 of the family's 1533-position model. Lineage: Bacteria; Pseudomonadati; Bacteroidota; Bacteroidia; Bacteroidales; Bacteroidaceae. The record is from RNAcentral.
UACGGAGGAUCCGAGCGUUAUCCGGAUUUAUUGGGUUUAAAGGGAGCGUAGGUGGAUUGUUAAGUCAGUUGUGAAAGUUUGCGGCUCAACCGUAAAAUUGCAGUUGAAACUGGUUGACUUGAGUAUAUUUGAGGUAGGCGGAAUGCGUGGUGUAGCGGUGAAAUGCAUAGAUAUCACGCAGAACUCCGAUUGCGAAGGCAGCUCACUAGACUGCAACUGACACUGAUGCUCGAAAGUGUGGGUAUCAA